RNAcentral lists this unclassified non-coding RNA (253 nucleotides) under uncultured Micrococcaceae bacterium. RNAcentral describes it as "contains 16S-23S intergenic spacer region". It matches the Rfam family "Bacterial small subunit ribosomal RNA", at positions 524 to 776 of the family's 1533-position model. The record is from RNAcentral. Lineage: Bacteria; Bacillati; Actinomycetota; Actinomycetes; Micrococcales; Micrococcaceae.
UACAUAGGCUCCAAGCGUUGUUCGGAAUUAUUGGGCGUAAAGAGCUCGUAGGCGGUUUGUCGCGUCUGCCGUGAAAGUCCGGGGCUCAACCCCGGAUCUGCGGUGGGUACGGGCAGACUUGAGUGCAGUAGGGGAGACUGGAAUUCCUGGUGUAGCGGGGAAAUGCGCAGAUAUCAGGAGGAACACCGAUGGCGAAGGCAGGUCUCUGGGCUGUAACUGACGCUGAGGAGCGAAAGCAUGGGGAGCGAACAGG